Non-coding RNA from Candidatus Roizmanbacteria bacterium, 72 nucleotides. NCBI's taxonomy places the organism in Bacteria, Candidatus Roizmaniibacteriota. The record is from Rfam.
GGUGCGGUGGCGAAGUGGUAACGCUGGAGUCUGCAAAACUCCCAUGCGCGGGUUCAAUUCCCGCCCGCACCU